RNAcentral lists this ribosomal RNA (468 nucleotides) under uncultured bacterium. RNAcentral's name for it is "partial 16S ribosomal RNA". It matches the Rfam family "Bacterial small subunit ribosomal RNA", at positions 28 to 507 of the family's 1533-position model. The record is from RNAcentral.
GACGAACGCUGGCGGCGUGCUUAACACAUGCAAGUCGAACGGAAAGGCCCUGCUUUUGUGGGGUGCUCGAGUGGCGAACGGGUGAGUAACACGUGAGUAACCUGCCCUUGACUUUGGGAUAACUUCAGGAAACUGGGGCUAAUACCGGAUAGGAGCUCCUGCUGCAUGGUGGGGGUUGGAAAGUUUCGGCGGUUGGGGAUGGACUCGCGGCUUAUCAGCUUGUUGGUGGGGUAGUGGCUUACCAAGGCUUUGACGGGUAGCCGGCCUGAGAGGGUGACCGGCCACAUUGGGACUGAGAUACGGCCCAGACUCCUACGGGAGGCAGCAGUGGGGAAUAUUGCACAAUGGGCGGAAGACUUAUGCAGCAACGCCGCGUGCGGGAUGACGGCCUUCGGGUUGUAAACCGCUUUCGCCUGUGACGAAGCGUGAGUGACGGUAAUGGGUAAAGAAGCACCGGCUAACUACGUG